CAACUCCGGUUGACCCUGCCGGCGGGCACCGCUAUGGGAGUUCGCUUAAGACAUGCGAGUCGAGAGGUGUAAGACCUCGGCAGACGGCUCAGUAACACGCGGACAACCUGCCCUCGGGUGGGGGAUACUCUCGGGAAACUGAGAAUAAUACCCCAUAGGUCCGGGAUGCUGGAAUGCUUCCGGGCUCAAAGCUCCGGCGCCCGAGGAUGGGUCUGCGGCCUAUCAGCUUGUAGGGGGUUUAACAGACCCCCUAGGCAUCGACGGGUACGGGCUAUGGGAGUAGUCGCCCGGAGAUGGACUCUGAGACACGAGUCCAGGCCCUACGGGGCGCAGCAGUCGCGAAAACUCCGCAAUGUGGGAAACCACGACGGGGGAACUCCCAGUGCGUGCGCUUUGCGUACGCUGUUCUCUCGCUUAAAUCGCGGGAGGAGUAAGGGCCGGGUAAGACGGGUGCCAGCCGCCGCGGUAAUACCCGCGGCCCGAGUGGUGCUCAUUAUUAUUGAGCCUAAAACGUCCGUAGCCGGCUCGGUAAAUUCCUGGGUAAAUCGGGCAGCUCAACUGUCCGAAUUCCGGGGAGACUGCCGGGCUCGGGACCGGGAGAGGUCGGAGGUACUCCGGGGGUAGGGGUAAAAUCCUGUAAUCCUCGGAGGACCACCAGUGGCGAAGGCGUCCGACUAGAACGGAUCCGACGGUCAGGGACGAAGCCCAGGGGCGCAAACGGGAUUAGAUACCCCGGUAGUCCUGGGUGUAAACGCUGCAGGCUUGGUGUCGGGGGUCCUACGUGGGCGCCCGGUGCCGGAGCGAAGGUGUUAAGCCUGCUGCUUGGGGAGUACGGUCGCAAGACUGAAACUUAAAGGGAUUGGCGGGGGAGCACCGCAACGGGAGGAGCGUGCGGUUCAAUUGGAUUCAACGCCGGAAAACUCACCGGGGGCGACCCUUACAUGAAGGCCAGGCUGAUGACUUUGCCUGAUUUUGGGAGAGGUGGUGCAUGGCCGUCGUCAGUUCGUACCGUAGGGCGUUCUGUCAAGUCAGAUAACGAACGAGACCCUUGCCCAUUGUUGCUACGUCGAUCUCCGGAUCGGCGGCACACUAUGGGGACCGCCAUCGCUAAGAUGGAGGAAGGAGAGGUCAACGGUAGGUCCGUAUGCCCCGAAUCCCCCGGGCAACACGCGCGCUACAAAGGACGGGACAAUGGGUUCCGACCCCGAGAGGGGAAGGCAAUCCCGAAACCCGUUCGCAGUUCAGACUGAGGGCUGUAACCCGCCCUCACGAAGAUGGAUUCCGUAGUAAUCGCGUGUCAACAUCACGCGGUGAAUAUGCCCCUGCUCCUUGCACACACCGCCCGUCAAGCCACCCGAGUUGGGCUUCAGUGAGGGUGCGAUCCUUGUCGCGCUCGAACUGAGGUUCAGCAAGGAGGGCUAAGUCGUAACAAGGUAUCUGUAGGGGAACCUGCAGAUGGAUCACCUCCUAAG
Molecule: ribosomal RNA, 1472 nt
Filed under: Methanobacteriota archaeon
Lineage: Archaea; Methanobacteriati; Methanobacteriota
Description: bacterial SSU rRNA
Rfam family: Archaeal small subunit ribosomal RNA
Source: RNAcentral